This 494-nucleotide ribosomal RNA is filed under the name Limosilactobacillus fermentum. RNAcentral's name for it is "bacterial SSU rRNA". It matches the Rfam family "Bacterial small subunit ribosomal RNA", at positions 57 to 508 of the family's 1533-position model. The record is from RNAcentral. Lineage: Bacteria; Bacillati; Bacillota; Bacilli; Lactobacillales; Lactobacillaceae.
GCAGUCGANCGCGUUGNCCCAAUUGNUUGAUGGUGCUUGCACCUGAUUGAUUUUGGUCGCCAACGAGUGGCGGACGGGUGAGUAACACGUAGGUAACCUGCCCAGAAGCGGGGGACAACAUUUGGAAACAGAUGCUAAUACCGCAUAACANCGUUGUUCGCAUGAACAACGCUUAAAAGAUGGCUUCUCGCUAUCACUUCUGGAUGGACCUGCGGUGCAUUAGCUUGUUGGUGGGGUAACGGCCUACCAAGGCGAUGAUGCAUAGCCGAGUUGAGAGACUGAUCGGCCACAAUGGGACUGAGACACGGCCCAUACUCCUACGGGAGGCAGCAGUAGGGAAUCUUCCACAAUGGGCGCAAGCCUGAUGGAGCAACACCGCGUGAGUGAAGAAGGGUUUCGGCUCGUAAAGCUCUGUUGUUAAAGAAGAACACGUAUGAGAGUAACUGUUCAUACGUUGACGGUAUUUAACCAGAAAGUCACGGCUAACUACNUGC